Molecule: RNA transcript, 1353 nt
Organism: Zea mays
Lineage: Eukaryota; Viridiplantae; Streptophyta; Magnoliopsida; Poales; Poaceae
Gene name: S-adenosylmethionine-dependent methyltransferase/ methyltransferase/ thiopurine S-methyltransferase
Exons: 8
Source: RefSeq, marked validated
UUCCUUUUUAUUUUUGUCUGUAUAUAUAAUGAUGAAUAAUUAUCUUAUCCUAUCCGCAUCGACCUAUUUUUUUUCCCUUUUGGAUUGGAAAUAUAAAUAAUCCCCCCUUUCUCUUUCCGUCGCUCUCCUAUGCUCUCUGGCCUCUGCGUAUGCGCCUAGGCGAGCCCGUGCGCUGGUUGGCCUCCCGGACGCGGCCGCGGCGGGCGAUGGGGUCGUCGGCGCCGGUGAGGGCGGCGGGAGGCACAAGGGAUCCCGGCGAGAACCCGGCGGUGGGGAGGCUGCGGGAGCUCUUCACAGGCGACGCGGCAGAUGGGUGGGAGAAGUCCUGGGAGUUUGGUGUGACCCCAUGGGAUUUGGGAAAGCCAACACCUGUCAUUGAACAUCUUGCUAGAUCAGGAACACUCCCAAAAGGGAGAGCUUUGGUUCCUGGAUGUGGAAUGGGAUACGAUGUGGUCGCUCUUGCAAGCCCUGAACGUUUUGUUGUUGGCUUGGAUAUUUCUGAUAUGGCUGUUAAGAAGGCUAAGCAGUGGUCAUCCUCUUUGCCCAAUGCAGAUUAUUUUACUUUUCUGGCUGAAGAUUUCUUCAAGUGGAUACCAAGUGAACAAUUCGACCUUAUAUUUGAUUACACGUUCUUUUGUGCACUUGACCCGAGCUUAAGGGUGGCUUGGGCAGAGACAGUUAAUCGGCUUCUAAAACCAGAUGGAGAGCUUCUUACCUUGAUUUAUCUGAUAAGUGAUCAAGAGGGAGGACCACCGUACAAUAAUACAGUUGCUGAGUAAGAGUAUUCAUCCCCUUGCCAUCAUCUAUCAGAAGGUACUGGAACCACUGGGUUUGAAGUCUGUUCUUAUGGAAGACAAUGAGCUAGCCAUUAAACCACGGAAGGGAUGUGAGAAAAUUGGGCGGUGGAAGAGAUGCGCACACCAAUCAUCUCUGUGAGAGAAAGCAGUGGUAUUUUCCUAAACAAAGAAAUAAAAGAAGAAUAGACCAUGUAGCUGCCUCAAUUAUCGGAUACUUCGGUGCUCCUGCUCCGUCACCUUUAGUCGUCAAUGAAAUUCUAGCUUCAAUUGGGGAGAUGCAUAGAGAUCUCAGUUGCCUAGAGGUGUCGCCUUUAGUGGCUACCUGAGUACCUGUGCCACUACAUUCAUUGCUUUUAAUAUGGUUCAGUCGUGAAUUGUUUGGAUGUAAUUGCUUAAUUAUGAAUUCUGUUUGAUCGAGUAGUUUUGCAUGGAUUGUGCUGGUUUUGGUAAGCCUUGUGCUUACUAAUACCAUUUGACCUUCUUUUCUCUUCUCUUGAUGAAAAACAUGUGUUACGGGAAAAAAAGAAUAUAUGGAAGGAUCAACUUCUUACAUUUA